This 673-nucleotide ribosomal RNA is filed under the name uncultured bacterium. RNAcentral describes it as "bacterial SSU rRNA". It matches the Rfam family "Bacterial small subunit ribosomal RNA", at positions 69 to 754 of the family's 1533-position model. The record is from RNAcentral.
UGAUUCUUCGGAUGAAGUCUCUUGUGACUGAGUGGCGGACGGGUGAGUAACGCGUGGGUAACCUGCCUCACACAGGGGGAUAACAGUUGGAAACGACCGCUAAUACCGCAUAACCCGCUGGUGCCGCAUGGCACUGACGGAAAAGAUUUUAUCGGUGUGAGAUGGACCCGCGUCUGAUUAGCCAGUUGGCAGGGUAACGGCCUACCAAAGCGACGAUCAGUAGCCGGCCUGAGAGGGUGAACGGCCACAUUGGGACUGAGACACGGCCCAGACUCCUGCGGGAGGCAGCAGUGGGGAAUAUUGCACAAUGGGGGAAACCCUGAUGCAGCGACGCCGCGUGAGUGAAGAAGUAUUUCGGUAUGUAAAGCUCUAUCAGCAGGGAAGAAAAUGACGGUACCUGAUUAAGAAGCCCCGGCUAACUACGUGCCAGCAGCCGCGGUAAUACGUAGGGGGCAAGCGUUAUCCGGAUUUACUGGGUGUAAAGGGAGCGUAGACGGUGAUGCAAGUCAGAAGUGAAAGCCCGGGGCUCAACUCCGGGACUGCUUUUGAAACUGUGUGACUGGAGUGCAGGAGAGGUAAGCGGAAUUCCUGGUGUAGCGGUGAAAUGCGUAGAUAUCAGGAGGAACACCAGUGGCGAAGGCGGCUUACUGGACUGUAACUGACGUUGAGGCUC